RNAcentral lists this ribosomal RNA (400 nucleotides) under uncultured bacterium. RNAcentral's name for it is "bacterial SSU rRNA". It matches the Rfam family "Bacterial small subunit ribosomal RNA", at positions 355 to 769 of the family's 1533-position model. The record is from RNAcentral.
UAAGGGAUAUUGCGCCAAUGGGCGAAAGCCUGACGCAGCAACGCCGCGUGCGGGAUGACGGCCUUCGGGUUGUAAACCGCUUUUCCGGGGGAAGAGGGAGGACGGUACCCUGGGAAUAAGUCUCGGCUAACUACGUGCCAGCAGCCGCGGUAAAACGUAGGAGGCGAGCGUUAUCCGGAUUUACUGGGUGUAAAGCGCGUGCAGGCGGUUUAGCAAGUCGUGCGUGAAAGCGCUCUGGCUCAACCGGGCGAGGACGUGCGGAACUGCUGAACUAGAGGCAGGUAGAGGCGUGUGGAAUUCCGGGUGCAGUGGUGAAAUGCGUAGAGAUCCGGAGGAACACCAGUGGCGAAGGCGACGCGCUGGGCCUGACCUGACGCUAAGACGCGAAAGCAUGGGGAGC